This is a long non-coding RNA of Magnolia sinica, 1585 nucleotides long. RefSeq lists it as uncharacterized. The transcript has 5 exons. Lineage: Eukaryota; Viridiplantae; Streptophyta; Magnoliopsida; Magnoliales; Magnoliaceae. The record is from RefSeq and is a predicted model, not a curated record.
AUGUGUAUGGAUGCAUCUUAUUAGGCUGCUCUACUUGCAUUAGAUGCUCAUGCUUUUGACCUCAGUGAAGCUGAACGUUUGAGAUUUCUCGCGUCUCUUGCCGUAAAGGAUUAAUAUGCACAAUGGAUAGUUGCAAAUCAGAGAAGCCUUCUAGAAGUCAUGGCCGAAUUUCCUUAAGCCAAGCUGCCUCUUGGAGUUUUCUUUGCAGCGAUAGCCCCUCGCUUGCAGCCAAGAUAUAAUUCGAUCUCUUCCUCUCCAAAGUGAGCAAUAUUUCAAAUUUGACCAAUCAAAUUUCCAGUUAUUAUUCAUUAUUGUUAUCAUUGUCAUUUUUCUAGAGAAUGUUUGUUGUUAGAUUUUGUUUUACUAAUCAUGGAAACCAUUGUAAAUUAGAGUAAUACCGAGCUCUUUGAUUUCAUAAAGUGUUGAUUUCAUUUUUGCUUUUCAUUCUUUCUGCAACCAUGAUCAAUUAGGACAAUCCCAAUUUCAUCAAUUUCUUAUUUUUUUUUCUUCUCUUAAUUUUUAUUUUUAUUUUUCAAUUUUAACCAUCUGAUACUUGUCCACCAAUUGGCUAGUUUGGUAAUCAAUUCAAGGUGAUUUUUGGACUAUGAUGCAUCUAAGUUGGUGCUGACGGAUUAAUUUGAGUUACUUGUAUACCACAUAUAUCAACCAUCACAUCUUGCCAAAGUUGUUAUGCCUGAAAGCUACCUCUGCAGAAAUACUUUCCAGCUACAUGAAUACAGAACGAAUCCUUAUCCAUUUGUCUUAACAAUAGUGAGAUUGAGGAAAGUGAACUCUCUGAUGCAAGCUUAACAAAUUUGAAAGAAGAUGGAUCUUCACCGUCCCUAACUCUGAUCAGAAAGCAGCUACAAUUCUCUGUCAGAGUUUGGUGUCCUUGGAUUCGAGUUGGGCUAUUUAAUGGAAAAUCCAAAUUCAUUAGUUAUGUGGGAAGCUCAAUUUCGAGAUUUUUCAAAUGGUGCUCAAGUGAUGUUUGAUCAGUUUUUGAGUAGUGGGGACUCUAAGUGGCUGUGCCAAACUAGGCUUGUUGUGCUACUUCCUCAUGGUUAUGAUGGUUAGGGCCCUGAACAUUCAAGUGCUAGGUUAGAGCGUUUCCUUUAGGGAAGAAGACAAUUGAACUUGAAAUAUGCAUUGGACAGAAUGGUAACACUGGAAAUAUAAAAGCUACCAAGCAUAGUAUGUCAUCAGGUUUAGAGAUGAAGCUUGAUGAGCUGCAGAAAGAGCUCUCUUCAAGUCAUAAAGGAAUAUUGCCGCAUAACAUUCUUUCCACCCAACAGAUCAGCACGUUAAGCGCCGAAAAACCAACUUCCAUGGAGUAGCUAAGGACUAGCCUUGUUUUGACUAUCAUAGGAGCAAUUUUCAAAUGGCUAAUGGUGGGUGAUCCACUCUUCUCAUUGCAUACAAGUGGGUCAAUCCAGAGUUCAAAUCACUUUAGCCUUUUGACGCCACUUGUGCUAGGAGUAGACCAUAUAGAGGAUUUGUUUUUAUUUAUUCAUUUAUAUUCAAGACCAUUUAUUGUAAUGAAUAUUAUAUAUAUUUUUAAUUGUGUAGUAAUAUAAAUUUUGUUUAA